RNAcentral lists this ribosomal RNA (510 nucleotides) under uncultured bacterium. RNAcentral's name for it is "partial 16S ribosomal RNA". It matches the Rfam family "Bacterial small subunit ribosomal RNA", at positions 28 to 507 of the family's 1533-position model. The record is from RNAcentral.
GACGAACGCUGGCGGCGUGCUUAACACAUGCAAGUCGAACGAAGAGCGAUGGAAGCUUGCUUCUAUCAAUCUUAGUGGCGCACGGGUGAGUAACGCGUAAUCAACCUGCCCUUCAGAGGGGGACAACAGUUGGAAACGACUGCUAAUACCGCAUACGAUCUAAUCUCGGCAUCGAGGAAAGAUGAAAGGUGGCCUCUAUUUAUAAGCUAUCACUGAAGGAGGGGAUUGCGUCUGAUUAGCUAGUUGGAGGGGUAACGGCCCACCAAGGCGAUGAUCAGUAGCCGGUCUGAGAGGAUGAACGGCCACAUUGGGACUGAGACACGGCCCAGACUCCUACGGGAGGCAGCAGUGGGGAAUCUUCCGCAAUGGACGAAAGUCUGACGGAGCAACGCCGCGUGAGUGAUGACGGCCUUCGGGUUGUAAAGCUCUGUUAAUCGGGACGAAAGGCCUUCUUGCGAACAGUUAGAAGGAUUGACGGUACCGGAAUAGAAAGCCACGGCUAACUACGUG